Molecule: long non-coding RNA, 539 nt
Organism: Fukomys damarensis (Damara mole-rat)
Lineage: Eukaryota; Metazoa; Chordata; Mammalia; Rodentia; Bathyergidae
Exons: 3
Source: RefSeq, a predicted model, not a curated record
UUAAGCCAUCAUGGCAGAAGUGAAUGGAUGCAAACCAGGGAAUGUCUCUGUACUUAGCUAUAACCAUACAGGCUCCAUCAUACCACAGUGGCUCCCUUCACAGAGGAGGCGCAAACUGAAAGCUCUCAGAGCUCUGAUGUCUACGGCUGUGGAUUGUGGAAAGCAGUGAGGUUCCUCUGCCUGGAAGGGACUACUGGCUUUCCUGAGCCACUUAAUGUGACUUCCCAUGAAGACCUCAAUUUUUUCAGAGCUGCAGAGUCACUCAAAAUAAUGGAUGGGCUCAUCCAAAGAAAUCAAUUGAUGCCCCUGUUGAUAAUGCACACUGACCCGUAUUCUCUGCUGAUUAAAAGUCUGGAAAGAGCAUCACUCUGAAGGUCAAGAUAGAAGAGUUCUCCUUCUUGCUUUAUCAGACCCCGACACUCUGUUUGCAGACCACUGGUUCACUUCUCUGAAAAAGUGGAGGCUGGUGAGGUCAGUGGUUUUCUAACUGCUUCCUCCAGAUGCAAAGACUCCUCCUACUCCCGCCACCCCACUGUUCA